CCUACGGGCGGCUGCAGUGGGGAAUAUUGCACAAUGGGCGCAAGCCUGAUGCAGCCAUGCCGCGUGUGUGAAGAAGGCCUUCGGGUUGUAAAGCACUUUCAGCGGGGAGGAAGGCGGUGAGGUUAAUAACCUCAUCGAUUGACGUUACCCGCAGAAGAAGCACCGGCUAACUCCGUGCCAGCAGCCGCGGUAAUACGGAGGGUGCAAGCGUUAAUCGGAAUUACUGGGCGUAAAGCGCACGCAGGCGGUCUGUCAAGUCGGAUGUGAAAUCCCCGGGCUCAACCUGGGAACUGCAUUCGAAACUGGCAGGCUAGAGGCUUGUAGAGGGGGGUAGAAUUCCAGGUGUAGCGGUGAAAUGCGUAGAGAUCUGGAGGAAUACCGGUGGCGAAGGCGGCCCCCUGGACAAAGACUGACGCUCAGGUGCGAAAGCGUGGGGAGCAAACAGGAUUAGAUACCCUAGUAGUC
RNAcentral lists this ribosomal RNA (465 nucleotides) under uncultured Klebsiella sp. RNAcentral describes it as "bacterial SSU rRNA". It matches the Rfam family "Bacterial small subunit ribosomal RNA", at positions 338 to 795 of the family's 1533-position model. Lineage: Bacteria; Pseudomonadati; Pseudomonadota; Gammaproteobacteria; Enterobacterales; Enterobacteriaceae. The record is from RNAcentral.